Molecule: long non-coding RNA, 479 nt
Filed under: Elaeis guineensis (African oil palm)
Lineage: Eukaryota; Viridiplantae; Streptophyta; Magnoliopsida; Arecales; Arecaceae
Description: long non-coding RNA (EGUI_LNC052230)
Source: RNAcentral
AGAAUUCAAGGGAGCAACUUCGGCUGUGAAAAUUUCUCUAUACUUCCUUCAUUCGAAACUCGAACUCGAAAGUAGGGGGACUGGUGUUGGGUAUAAAAUACCCCCCAGUCGAAGUUCGUGUCAGGAGUGACCCUCCCGGGACUCUACCAGCAUCCAACCUUUGGCGACAUCUUUCCGAACCUCUCUAGUGGCCGAGCUUCUGCAAUGUUCUCAAGUUCUGCCAACGGAUAAACUCCCACAGUUUCUCCCACAAGUGUCGACCGGAUUCUCCCGACGGAUGAACUCCUGCUACAUCUCCCGGGCUUCUCCAACGAUAAGCUUCUUCAGUCAUCUAUCAGGCUGCUCCAAGUGCUCUCUGAAUUCCACUAUCGGCCGACCUCCUACAAUGGUCAACCAUUCUUUGGACCUCUUCUAGAUCUUUCCCAACAGGAUUCGAUCGACUCCAAUCCGAAUUUCUUCCAAAACUUCGUCAGUGGCCG